RNAcentral lists this transfer RNA (78 nucleotides) under Candidatus Thiodiazotropha sp. Its description in RNAcentral is "tRNA-Arg". It matches the Rfam family "tRNA". Rfam says of the family: Transfer RNA (tRNA) molecules are approximately 80 nucleotides in length. Their secondary structure includes four short double-helical elements and three loops (D, anti-codon, and T loops). Further hydrogen bonds mediate the characteristic L-shaped molecular structure. tRNAs have two regions of fundamental functional importance: the anti-codon, which is responsible for specific mRNA codon recognition, and the 3' end, to which the tRNAs corresponding amino acid is attached (by aminoacyl-tRNA synthetases). tRNAs cope with the degeneracy of the genetic code in two manners: having more than one tRNA (with a specific anti-codon) for a particular amino acid; and 'wobble' base-pairing, i.e. permitting non-standard base-pairing at the 3rd anti-codon position. The record is from RNAcentral. Lineage: Bacteria; Pseudomonadati; Pseudomonadota; Gammaproteobacteria; Chromatiales; Sedimenticolaceae.
GCCCCGGUAGCCAAACUGGACAAGGCAGCGGAUUUCUACUCCGCCGAUUUGAGGGUUCGAGUCCUUCUCGGGGCGCCA